RNAcentral lists this ribosomal RNA (789 nucleotides) under Methanoculleus sp. enrichment culture clone L55A_28. RNAcentral describes it as "bacterial SSU rRNA". It matches the Rfam family "Archaeal small subunit ribosomal RNA", at positions 85 to 879 of the family's 1478-position model. The record is from RNAcentral. Lineage: Archaea; Methanobacteriati; Methanobacteriota; Methanomicrobia; Methanomicrobiales; Methanomicrobiaceae.
ACUGCUCAGUAACACGUGGAUAACCUGCCCUAAGGAAGGGGAUAACCUCGGGAAACUGAGGAUAAUACCCUAUAGGUUACAGACGCUGGAAUGCCCUGUAACCGAAAGUUCCGGCGCCUUAGGAUGGAUCUGCGGCCGAUUAGGUUGUUGUUGGGGUAACGGCCCAACAAGCCGAUAAUCGGUACGGGUUGUGGGAGCAAGAGCCCGGAGUUGGAUUCUGAGACGUGAAUCCAGGCCCUACGGGGCGCAGCAGGCGCGAAAACUUUACAAUGCGGGAAACCGUGAUAAGGGAACCCCGAGUGCCUGUAUAUGCAGGCUGUCCAGGUGUCUAAAAAACACCUGAAGAAAGGGCCGGGCAAGACCGGUGCCAGCCGCCGCGGUAAUACCGGCGGCUCGAGUGGUGGCCACUUUUAUUGGGCUUAAAGCGUUCGUAGCUGGGUUGUUAAGUCUCUUGGGAAAUCUGACGGCUCAACCGUCAGGCGUCCAAGGGAUACUGGCAAUCUUGGAACCGGGAGAGGCGAGGGGUACUUCGGGGGUAGGAGUGAAAUCCUGUAAUCCUCGAGGGACCACCUGUGGCGAAGGCGCCUCACCAGAACGGCUUCGACAGUGAGGGACGAAAGCUGGGGGAGCAAACCGGAUUAGAUACCCGGGUAGUCCCAGCCGUAAACGAUGCGCGUUAGGUGUAUCGGUGACCACGAGUCACCGAGGUGCCGAAGGGAAACCGUGAAACGUGCCGCCUGGGAAGUACGGUCGCAAGGCUGAAACUUAAAGGAAUUGGCGGGGGAGCAC